GCUCAGAACGAACGCUGGCGGCAUGCCUAAUACAUGCAAGUCGAACGAGCCUUUCGGGGCUAGUGGCGCACGGGUGCGUAACGCGUGGGAAUCUGCCCUUGGGUUCGGAAUAACGUCGGGAAACUGACGCUAAUACCGGAUGAUGACGUAAGUCCAAAGAUUUAUCGCCCAGGGAUGAGCCCGCGUAGGAUUAGCUAGUUGGUGAGGUAAAGGCUCACCAAGGCGACGAUCCUUAGCUGGUCUGAGAGGAUGAUCAGCCACACUGGGACUGAGACACGGCCCAGACUCCUACGGGAGGCAGCAGUAGGGAAUAUUGGACAAUGGGGGCAACCCUGAUCCAGCAAUGCCGCGUGAGUGAUGAAGGCCUUAGGGUUGUAAAGCUCUUUUACCCGGGAUGAUAA
Molecule: ribosomal RNA, 401 nt
Filed under: Sphingomonas sp. IGS11
Lineage: Bacteria; Pseudomonadati; Pseudomonadota; Alphaproteobacteria; Sphingomonadales; Sphingomonadaceae
Description: bacterial SSU rRNA
Rfam family: Bacterial small subunit ribosomal RNA
Source: RNAcentral